GACGAACGCUGGCGGCGUGCUUAACACAUGCAAGUCGAGCGAGGUGCUUAUAACAGAACUCUUCGGAGGGAAGACUUAAGUAUCCUAGCGGCGGACGGGUGAGUAACGCGUGAGAAACCUGCCAUUCACAAGGGGAUAGCCUCAGGAAACUGGGAUUAAUACCCUAUGAAACUCUAUUAUCGCAUGGUAAGAGGGUUAAAGCGUAAAGCGGUGUUUGAUGGUCUCGCGUCCCAUUAGCUAGUUGGUGAGGUAACGGCUCACCAAGGCGACGAUGGGUAACCGGCUUGAGAGAGUGAACGGUCACACUGGAACUGAGACACGGUCCAGACUCCUACGGGAGGCAGCAGUGGGGAAUAUUGCACAAUGGAGGAAACUCUGAUGCAGCGACGCCGCGUGAACGAAGACGGUCUUCGGAUUGUAAAGUUCUGUCAACGGGGACGAUAAUGACGGUACCCGUGGAGGAAGCCACGGCUAACUACGUGCCA
RNAcentral lists this ribosomal RNA (485 nucleotides) under uncultured Tissierellia bacterium. Its description in RNAcentral is "bacterial SSU rRNA". It matches the Rfam family "Bacterial small subunit ribosomal RNA", at positions 28 to 510 of the family's 1533-position model. The record is from RNAcentral. Lineage: Bacteria; Bacillati; Bacillota; Tissierellia.